This 497-nucleotide ribosomal RNA is filed under the name uncultured bacterium. RNAcentral's name for it is "partial 16S ribosomal RNA". It matches the Rfam family "Bacterial small subunit ribosomal RNA", at positions 28 to 507 of the family's 1533-position model. The record is from RNAcentral.
GAUGAACGCUGGCGGCGUGCCUAAUACAUGCAAGUCGAGCGAACAGAUGAGGAGCUUGCUCCUCUGACGUUAGCGGCGGACGGGUGAGUAACACGUGGAUAACCUACCUAUAAGACUGGGAUAACUUCGGGAAACCGGAGCUAAUACCGGAUAAUAUAUUGAACCGCAUGGUUCAAUAGUGAAAGACGGUUUUGCUGUCACUUAUAGAUGGAUCCGCGCCGCAUUAGCUAGUUGGUAGGGUAACGGCUUACCAAGGCAACGAUGCGUAGCCGACCUGAGAGGGUGAUCGGCCACACUGGAACUGAGACACGGUCCAGACUCCUACGGGAGGCAGCAGUAGGGAAUCUUCCGCAAUGGGCGAAAGCUUGACGGAGCAACGCCGCGUGAGUGAUGAAGGUCUUCGGAUCGUAAAACUCUGUUAUUAGGGAAGAACAAAUGUGUAAGUAACUAUGCACGUCUUGACGGUACCUAAUCAGAAAGCCACGGCUAACUACGUG